Non-coding RNA from Schistosoma mansoni, 48 nucleotides. Lineage: Eukaryota; Metazoa; Platyhelminthes; Trematoda; Strigeidida; Schistosomatidae. The record is from Rfam.
AUCCAUCUGACGAUCCCCAAAUAGGACGAAACGCGCGUCAAACUGUAU